AUCUAUCUCCCACCGGGGAGAAAACUAAAAAGAGUAAUUACAUACUUCAUUAGGUCUUUGAAGAAGUAUGUCAAUUACUCUUUUCUUUU
Molecule: non-coding RNA, 89 nt
Filed under: Lactobacillus ultunensis DSM 16047
Lineage: Bacteria; Bacillati; Bacillota; Bacilli; Lactobacillales; Lactobacillaceae
Source: RNAcentral